AAUAGCCAGGAGGGGCUGAGCAGUAGUAGCAAAAGCUACAGAGAAAUGGCAAAGAUGGCAAAAGCCAUCUCUUAAGAGGAUGUUUCAUCUGAUGGGCAUACAAAUUUGCUUACUAUACAUCACUUUUUUAUGGAGAGCAGGUUCAAGUACCCCUAAGAGAUGCACACCUCCAGCAAAGGAGACUGAGAAAGAGGAGACAGAGAGAAGAUUUACAAAACAAAAUCUAGAAGAAAUUAUCCAAAAUGCAUGGAAAAGGGAUCCUAUGCAGCUCUAAAAUAAUCUGAUUUCAACCUUUCCUUGACCAUUUUAGUGGUCACAUUCCUUUCUCCAUUUUCUGAACUCACAAGCACUUAUCAACUGCAUUUUUCACCUAGAUCUUAAUCAUAUGUUAAGAGACCUGUAAUUUCAUCAGUAUAGAGAAACUCCCUCUGCUAAUAUAAAUUAACAACUCAUCUGUAA
Molecule: long non-coding RNA, 459 nt
Organism: Antechinus flavipes (yellow-footed antechinus)
Lineage: Eukaryota; Metazoa; Chordata; Mammalia; Dasyuromorphia; Dasyuridae
Exons: 2
Source: RefSeq, a predicted model, not a curated record